CUGCACAUGGCAGCUCCCCUUCACUUUCUACCAUGGGUGAAGCACUCUGAGGCUUCCACCAGAUGCCCAAUCUUCUAGCCGGCAGAAUCGUGAGCCAAGAGUACCAUUGCUAUACCACAUUCUCACUUGAUCCCCUUUGGAUGAAAUGAAAGAAACAGCUGGUUUGACUGAGUAGUAUCCUGAGAAGAAGAGGAAGCAACCAGAGUUCUCCCUCUGCCAUGUGAGAAGACAGUAGAAUGUGGCUGUCUGUAGCCAGAAAGAGAGACUUAUCGAGAACUAAAUUGGCUGGCACCUUAUUCUUGGACUUCCCAGCCUUCAGAUCUGUGAGAAAUAAACAUCUGUUGUUGAAGUCACCCAGUCUAUGGUGUUUCGUUAUAGUAACUGGAGAAGUCUAAGAGAAUACAGCAAAAUGGUUUGAAUAUGUUUUAAUUCUACAAUUAAAAUGUUGGAAGAAAAGAAGUGUGGUAUAAUUCACAUUUAAAAAAUUAUAUUCAAUUUAUUUUUUGGAAAGUAUAUUUAUGUUUAUCUUUCAGACUCUGGUAAUGACUGCCAGGUCUCAGUCUUCAGUUUGAAGUUCUCACUGAGCUUCACACCUUUGUCCCUGUCUGUUGUAUUUACUUCUUUGGAUAAAACGUCCCCAUUAUGUAUGGUAGGUUAAGAAAAAAAAAAUCCCUUCUUCAUUUCUUUUCACAGGCAUUACUGUCCACCAGCCAUCUAGGCUUGAGAACUUGGAGACCUCCAUGGAAAAGUCUUGCUCCCUAAACUUCUUUACUAAACAUCCAAGAUCCCCUCUUUUCUAUAUGCCUAAAUUAUAAAAUUUCUAGCACAGAACUUUUUAUUUAUAAACAAUUCUACAUUUUAAGCAUUUAUUCAUAUGUGUCUUAUUUGUUUCUUUAAUUUAUUAUAAAUUUGAUGGCAUGGAACCCAAAUUUGUCUUCUAUAUCUCUCCUAACAUUUAACAUAGAGCUAGGUAACUAAUGAUGCUUAGCUAAUUCUUUUCUAUGAUUAUGACUG
Molecule: long non-coding RNA, 1014 nt
Filed under: Homo sapiens (human)
Lineage: Eukaryota; Metazoa; Chordata; Mammalia; Primates; Hominidae
Description: HSALNT0076493
Source: RNAcentral